UUCUUUGGCACAACCAAAACCGGAGCGC
This 28-nucleotide small RNA is filed under the name Bombyx mori (domestic silkworm). Its description in RNAcentral is "ovarian small RNA-37583". The record is from RNAcentral. Lineage: Eukaryota; Metazoa; Arthropoda; Insecta; Lepidoptera; Bombycidae.